GCAUGCAGGCGGCCUGUUAAGUCAGAUGUGAAAGACCCGGGGCGUUAACCUCGGAAUUGCAUUUGAAACUAGGCAGGCUAGAGUCUUGUAGAGGGGGGUAGGAAUUUCAGGUGUAGCGGUGAAAAUGCGUAGAGAUCUGAAGGAAUACCAGUGGCGAAGGCGGCCCCCUGGACAAAGACUGACGCUCAGAUGCGAAAGCCGUGGGGACGCAAACAGGAUUAGACUACCCCUGGUAG
Molecule: ribosomal RNA, 236 nt
Filed under: uncultured bacterium
Lineage: Bacteria
Description: partial 16S ribosomal RNA
Rfam family: Bacterial small subunit ribosomal RNA
Source: RNAcentral